Molecule: long non-coding RNA, 5891 nt
Organism: Corythoichthys intestinalis (scribbled pipefish)
Lineage: Eukaryota; Metazoa; Chordata; Actinopteri; Syngnathiformes; Syngnathidae
Exons: 3
Source: RefSeq, a predicted model, not a curated record
GGGGGUCCCUGAUCCGAUCACAUGAUCGAAAAUCGUGCCUGAUCAUGUCAUUUUCAGAGGGUUUGAAUCAGGUUCAUAAAAUGUUUUUAUUUAUAAGUAUUGGCUUAUCUGCUACCAUUUAUAUCGAUAGACAAUAAAUUCCUUUGUAGUAUAGCGAGAGAAAUUUCUCAGCUAUGAGCAGGGUGAGUAUUCUGUUUUCACUUUUCUCCUGACAGUUUAAGUAGGUACACAUUUGUUAAUCUACGUUACGUGAUUAGACUAUUUGCACUGAUCCAACCUGGACCAUGUACAGAAAAAAAUGUUAAAGAGGUCACACUGCACAACGUCCUUCUUCAGCAAUUUUCGGCCAUGUUUGCAUUUUGCAUUUUUUUAUUUAUAGCAACACUAGGGUACUAGUGUACAACCUUUAUAAAAUAUCUUCAUAACAUUUGUGAUAGCUCGACACACAACUAGGUGAAUGACACCUCUAUCAUGGCCUGAGGGGGUCUGUAUCGCUUUUACUGCUUUCACUGAUUAACUUGGAGGAGGGUGGCAGGAAGCCUGCCAUACAAAAAAACUACAAAUAUGCUGACUGUUUUCCGGCAUACGUUACUUCUCCCUUUCCCCAUUGUUUAUAAAGACGAAGUUGAUGCAAACGCUUUUGCGCAAAUUGUGCAAGGAUGGCGGAGCAACAAAAGAGAGUUUUUUUGUCCAAGAAGACAAAAAAAGUAAAAGGGAGGUUACCAGGAUAAAAGGACACUCAAGAAUAAACAUUGGCCUGGAUUUCAUUCUCUGCCGUGACCACUACCAGUACAAUACGGUACAAAAUCAAACGUUUCUUAUUUUCAACAUCGUCAUAUGAUAUUGUGUAGCCACAAUUGGAUUCAUUACCUCAUCACUCUUCAUCCUUCACACAACCGCUGGAAACAAAAAUGUCAUUCAAUCCAACUGCAGCCAAUUGGGACAUCAGGAUUUUAUGAUACUGUGCGCUAGUCUUCAUGGGAAAUGCAGUCUUCCUUAAGGCAAAACACUACCGCUUUUGUCCACCUGUGCCGCUAAAAUCGACCAAAACUGAAAGUUCCCUAGUGUCGCUUUAAGUUCAGCGUUUCCCCUACAUAGGAUUUAUCGUGGCGGGCCGCCACACCAAAAUAAAAGCCACCACGCCUUGCAAAUGCGAUUCUUUUUUUUUUUUUUUUUUUUAAGAUUUAAAGAUCCAUUCUAAUUUUUAAUUAGUAUAAUUUAACAUGACUUCUAAAUGAAUAUAUGAAGCUCAUUUGUACACACGAUUUACCAUAAGUCGUCUGAAAUAGCAUGUAAAAUACAAAUUGUUCCUUUACAUGCUUUAUUUUGAAAAGCGUAUCAUUUCUAUUGAAAGCUUGCGGCUGGUACGUCGGCUCGGCGCAGAAAUGGAAAUCGGGAGACGAAACACAGAAAGGCAUUUGAAGUUAAUGAAUGUACUUCUGGUUUAAAACUGUGAAAAUGACCUUAAUAUACUGACAUUGACGUAACGUUUAAGUUCAUUAUGGCAUGUUUUUGAUACGAAUCGGUCGCGUCCUACUCCUAGCAUAGCAUUUGUUCGGCGCUGACGUCACUCGUUGUUAUUGAUGUACAGUAUUUUGGAAAGAGAAAAGUUCCUGAGGAAUAGGGUCUGCUAACAAAGUGACGAUUAUUGUUUGAUGAUUUAGACCGUCAUGUUCAGAAAUAUUUAAUGAGCGUCAGAGGCUAAGUAAAUAUUUCGGAACGUACCGGAGGGCUCAUGCUCUCAGGUGCUCUUCAUUUGCGAAUGUAUUGGCUCUCAUGUUCAGAGGACUAGAAAUAACCAAAUGGUUAUGGCAAGCGUAGUAUUCUAAUGUUGAGAUAAGGUUUUCAAGAACUGAAUGAGACCAGAUAGCACAUAGAGAGGCAGAUCAGGAUGGCGCAGAGUCCAGGGUAGGAGAAGUAAGCAAAAAAACCAAACAGGAAAUCUAGCUGGACCCAACAUGGACAAAAAUGGCAAAGUUCAAGCUGUGGCUGUACCACAAAAAUCAAGAAUAUGGACCAGGUCAGCAUGAUGGCACCACAGACUGAUGAAUGGGGAGUGCUGCUGACAGCAACCGUCCGCCAUUGCGUUGACAGUUACCAUCUCAACAGUGAACUGUGAGAUUUUUCUUCAAUGACCUGAGUAAAGACAGACUUGAGGAACAGGUGGACCAUCUUGUAGCAUGCCUCACAUUGACUAAUAAAUGGAUCACCUAUUGCCGACCCCCCCCCUUUUUUUUUUUUUUUAAGUCCAGGAAAAUCAAGUGUUCCCAGGCAGGAUGCAAACUUUGCAAAUAGAUCUUUGUUAUGGUUCUUGAAAAAAAUAAAUAAUAAAAUUAAAAAACAAUUUUAAAAAUUCUUAUUUGUCAUGAUACGAAACAAAUUCGCCGCGGCACAACAUGAUGGGGUUGUCCGACUCCGACGCAGUCCACCACCACCACAGCUUCAAAAAAUCCUAGGGGAAACCCUGAAGUUGAUUUAUUUAACUUUUAAAAGCGACCAGAAAUGGAUUGUUCUAACUCUUUAGUGCACGAAUCAUGAUUUUUAUUUUCUCUCUCCUUACAGGGUAUUCAUUUAACUCACUGUUUGUCAUUGACGGCACCAGGUGUCCAAUUCAUUUUGACUGAGAGGGGCGUCUAGUGACGGCAAUGGCAAUAAAAGAUGAGCAGUCACAGCCGGUCCUCCCAGUUUAUAUAAAUUGGAUGUCUUAUCACCAUCAAUGGCAUGCAAUGAGUUCAAUGGAGCCUAUCGAGGAAAAAAAAAAACUUUAUAGUGCUACUUUGGGCUAGAGCCAAUGUGUAUUUUUAUUAUUAUAUGUAUCUUUAUUUUUACGGUAAUUAAUUUGUUUUUAUUAACAUUAUAUCUAUUUAUAAAUUCAUGAUUAUAAAUAUUUGUUAAAAAUCAGUAACAAUCGAUGAUUUUAAAAAUAUGUUCAUAUUCGUAAUUGCUAAUAUUUAAGAUUUUUAAUGUCUUAAAGUAGUCACUUGCCCCAUAAAGGGUUAAAGAUCUUAGGUGGCAACUUUUGAAUGGCUGUAGUGUCCACUGUAGUGACCACUGUCUCUGAAAGGGUUCAGUUUAACUAGGAUUUAAGUAUUUCAAUUGUAGUUUUGAUUAUCUUUUAAGACUAUGUUUCAAGAGCAUUUUUCCAACACUUUACGUUGAAGUAUUGUUAUGGCUUACCAUGACUAGAAGUCGAGCGAUAUGGGAUUUUAAAAGGCCGAUACCAAUAUUAUAAAUAAAAUUCCGCCGAUUGCUAAUGUCUAAAACCAAUUUUGAAAGAUGAUAUUUUAGACCAAUCUACUUUUUUUUUUCAAAAUGAUUAUGACAGGCAAUCGAAACACUCAUUAUAUAAAUGUUUAUAGCGAUGCCUCGUUUUUCACGGCUAAUGUGGACCACUCCCCCAACCCCCCACAAAAAUCGAAAAUCCGCUAAGUAAAAUCCGCUGUUUACAUAUAUGUACAUUUUUAUAAAUGGUUUUUAAGCACUGCAAAUGUGACGAUUAUGAUAUAAAUAAGAUAUAUGUAAAAGAAAACAAUGAUUUGUACAUGUAUACAUGCAUAUAUCGAAACAUUUUUUUAAAUAAAAUUACACUUAGAUUGCAGCGGCGCCUUCCUUGAUGGAUGAUGAUGAUGAUGAAGAUGGCACAAUGCAAAGAUGUCGGAGAGCCUUGUACUGUACUUCAAAAAUCUGCAAAUAACUAAAACUGCAAAUUUCGUAGCGCGAGGGAUCACUGUACUAUAUAAUGUAUUCGAAGUUAAAAUUCUCCUUCUGAUACUUCCUUUUAUAACACUGGCCACUAGGUGGUGCAAAAUAACAAAUGUCGUCACUCAAACAGUGAACAUAACAGUUCUCCUAUUAUAUAGGCUGAUCUUGAAAAAAGUCCAAAUAUCGUCUCAAUAUAUUGGGCGGACAAUAUAUUGGUCAACCUUGAUAAGAAAACCCAUCCAAACAGUGAACUUAACAAUUAUCAUCUUGUAUCGGCCGGUCUUGAAAAAAACUGACAAAUAUCAGUCGACCUUAGUCUUUAACACGAUAGUCAUAAUUUCAAAAUUCCUGUCUACAUAUUUAUUUGUUCUGGAUGUGGGUUUCCAGUGGGCUUCUCUACCACCAGGCCUUGCCGGUUUUCUGGGGGGAAACCCAGGCCAUUUGGGGGCCCUAAGCAAAAUAAUGCAAAGGGGCCCAUAUUUUUGGCCCACCAUUUCGUCACAGUGUACUGUGAAACCCAUACAUGCAAUCCAACCCAUACGUAGGGAUGGGCAAUAUGGCCUUAAACACGUAUCACGAUAAAUUGAGCAGAUUUACCUCGAUGACGAUAAAGUCGCCCAAGCGCACUGUUAUAUAAUUUGAAAAUCUGAAUCAGUGCAUGAAAUACAGAUUAACAGUUUCUUGUUGAUUUAGUUACCAGCAUUCAAUUUGAUAUAUUUAACAAUUGUACAUGCGGUCUAAACAUUAAGUUUAUAAAAAUGUGUUGUAAACAAUAAGAAUUCAAGUAUGAGCAUUUAUAACAGCGUGUAUGGCUUGAACAAUGUACAUUGUCAAAAUCAAUGUGCCUGUGCAAACAUGUCAUUGUAACACAAAUGACUUGCAGCUUGAAUAGUACACUUCAAAAAGACAAUUUAUAGUAAUGGCUGCUGUGACAUAAUUAUUCAAUACAAGUGUUUACUUUAUGGUUUCAGGGUUUUUUUUUUUACCCCCAGUGCAUUUUUUAAUAAAUGUACGCAUACAUGAACCCCAAAACAGGCAGACAGACAGACACACAUUAAAGCUAUAUUGAUCUUCUGCAAAUGAAACACUUAAGAUUUUAUGAUAGCAAUAAUGACACAGAAUUAAGCACAUACAGAAAAAUAGCUGGGGCCAUUUCUCGUUCAUAUUAUAAGUUUCACCGUUGGAUUGUGCUUUAUGCUGAAUGCUUUACCAUCACAAAAGCUAUUAGAGAAAUCACACACAGUCAGAUACAAAAUAAUGCGACACAGUAAUUGCUAGAUGCAGUCCAUGCCCAAUCCACUCCUUAAGUUCAGCCGUUUCGACAAGGUUAGAGCCACUAUCCGACUCCAUCACGUUCAUUUGUAGCGUUAGCCGCUAACGGCCGCUAGCGUUAGCCGCUAGCGUUAGCCGCUAGCGUUAGCCUGUGGCCUGGCUACCAGUAGAAAGCACUGAAAGCACCAUCUCCGGAAAUUGUGAGAACAAGGGAGGGCAGCGGGUGAAAGCCCGUCUGGAUGCCACCAAGAGUCUACUAAAUGUCGGGUGAAAGUUUGGCAAACCUCCCUUAAGCCACACUCCAUCACGUUUUGCUUGUAGCGUUAGCUGCUAGCGUUAGCUUACCGGGCUUCUGUUUGAUUGGCUUCCUGAUGAUCACGUGACUCCCUACGUAAGUACAUUGACUGCUUUCUUAAAGGGGAAUGAACAUAGACGAACAACACAGAGUCAAAGCGGGAUGAAAAGACUAUUUUCUUGUUUUAUUAAUUUACCGACAUAGUCAAAAUUACGUCGGUCAUCGUGAAGAAUUUCGGUGACGGUAAAUUUUCAGUUUACCGCCCAGCUCUACCCAUACGUCCAUAUUUUGUAUAUUAAUCAGAUUUUGUUGCACUGCAUACUUCAAAUUUCUCACCCCAAAUGAUUGUCAGUACUUACAGUAGAUAGCGCCAAACCUUUUUAUAAAAGAGGAAAGAAAGAAGUUAAGGAAGAACUUUUAUUUGUUUAAGCUUGUAAUCAAGUAUCAAAACUCACAAAAGUCAAAUAAAGCAAACUGUAGUAAACAAAAUAAAUAUAAAUUAAACAAUUGCCAGAUUGGGGACCCCCUAGUGGUCAGGGGCCCUAAGCAGCUGCAUAGUCUGCGUAUAAGCUGGGCCGGCCCUGCUAAUGGCUCUGAAACAUGAUUGCCUUAAUGAAUAGUG